UGCAGUCGACGGCAGCGGGCAAGUAGCUUGCUACUUUUGCCAGGCGAGUGGCGAACGGGUGAGUAAUGUAUCGGAACGUGCCCAGUUAGCGGGGGAUAACUACGCGAAAGCGUGGACUAUAUACCGCAUACGCCCUACGGGGGAAAGGGGGGGAUCUUAGGACCUCGUACAGCGUGAUCUGGAGCGGUCACGAUAUCGGAUGUAGGCUAGUUGGUGGGGUAAAGGCCUACCACGGGCGACGAUGCGUAACUGGUUUGAGAGGACGACCGAGCCACGCUGGGACUGACGACACUGCCCAGACUCGCUACGGGAGGCAACUGUGGGGAAUUUUGGACAAUGGGGGAAACCCUGAUCCAGCCGAUCCCAUCGAUGUGCGAUGAAGGCCUUCGGGUUGUAAAGCACUUUUGUCAGGGAAGAAAAGGUUUCGGAUAAUACCCGGAGCUGAUGACGGUACCUGAAGAAUAAGCACCGGCUAACGUACGUGCCAGCAGCCGCGAGUAAUACGUAGGGUGCAAGCGUUAAUCGGAAUUACUGGGCGUAAAGCGUGCGCAGGCGGUUCGGAUAAGAAAGAUGUGAAAUCCCAGGGCUCAACCUUGGAACUGCAUUUUUAACUACCGAACUAGAGUAUGUCAGAGGGGGGGUGGAAUUCCACGUGAUAGCAGUGAAAUGCGUAGAUAUGUGGAGGAACACCGAUGGCGAAGGCAGCCCCCUGGGAUAAUACUGACGCUACUAUGCACGAAAGCGUGGGGCAGCAAACAGGAUUAGAUACCCUGGUAGUCCACGCCCUAAACGAUGUCAACUACCUGUUGGGCCCUUCGGGGCUUACGUAGCGCAGCUAACGCGUGAAGUUGACCGCCUGGGGAGUACGGUCGCAAGAUUAAAACUCAAAGGAAUUGACGGGGACCCGUCACAAGCGGUGGAUGAUGUGGAUUAAUUCGAUGCAACGCGAAAAACCUUACCUACCCUUGACAUGUCUGGAAUCCUGAAGAGAUUUAGGAGUGCUCGCAAGAGAACCGGAACACAGGUGCUGCAUGGCUGUCGUCAGCUCGUGUCGUGAGAUGUUGGGUUAAGUCCCGCAACGAGCGCAACCCUUGUCAUUAGUUGCUACAUUUAGUUGAGCACUCUAAUGAGACUGCCCGGUGAACAACCCGAAGAAAGGUGGGGAAUGACGUCAAGUCCUCAUGGGCCCUUAUGGGGUAGGGCUUCCCACGUCCAUACAAUGGUCGGGAACGAAGGUUUCCCAA
RNAcentral lists this ribosomal RNA (1244 nucleotides) under Advenella sp. RNAcentral describes it as "bacterial SSU rRNA". It matches the Rfam family "Bacterial small subunit ribosomal RNA", at positions 56 to 1254 of the family's 1533-position model. Lineage: Bacteria; Pseudomonadati; Pseudomonadota; Betaproteobacteria; Burkholderiales; Alcaligenaceae. The record is from RNAcentral.